GGCAUCCGAGCCUCCACCUCCUGAAAACUUCUCUCCUUUCGGGCUCCCUCUCUCCGGCUGGAUGACGGGCACCAACCACCCCAAAUCCAGUCCUAACGCCCCUCCACUGACCCCCCUCCCCAUCGCCUGCUAAGGAAGGGCUACGCUCCUUAAGCUGAGGCGCCGGCUGCUUUACAAGUUUCGAGGGAAAAGAAUGGAUUUCUCUGGUUAGGCCACUCAGGGAAUAAACGGCCCAAGGCCCUGGGAGAUCCCACGACGGGGGUGGGAGGUGUUUCUUCUGGAGUCUGGAUGGAGCAGAGCUGGCAGGGCCGGUCGUCCCGCUGCUGCGGGCUGGCUCGCCAAAGACGCCCCUUCCUUGACCUACUCCCUCUCUCCGGAGAGAGCCCUGGAGAGUUCUGGAAAUCCUGCUACCUUUAGGACCUGCGGGAUCCGAGUUGGGGGUCACCUUCCCCGCCCCCAGCGAAGUCGGCGCCGGGAACUGCCUUAAUGGAAACCAGCCGCUGGGCGCUCCGGGAGGGCUUGGGCAGACCCCGGGGUCCACCAGAGGCGCGCGCCAGGCCGGUGGAGCCCGCGGCGGCUGGAGGGUGAACCUGACAUCCCCGCGCGGCUCCACCAACCCCUCCGCGGCUCGCACCCCACCCCCACCCCGGCUGGAACAAAGUAGAACCCGGGGCGUGCGCGUGAUUCCCAGGGAGGGCGGACUCGGGGCUUUCCCUGUCGCACCCUCCAUCGGGGGACCGUCCCCAAGUCCCCGAGAGCCUCUCGGGCAGGGUCCUUAGGGCUCGGCGCACGGGAGGACCUGGCUUGCCCGGUGGAGGCGAACAAGCGAGGAGUCGGUGGAGCUGCGCCCCAAGAGUCCCCGGCGAGCGAGUCUACCCACCCGGACCCUUUGUCCGCCUCCUCCUCCCCACCCUCGUCCCGGCCGUGGGCUCGGGGGACCCGGGCGGCGGCAGAGGUGGCAGGCAGAGCCCAGAGGCACAGCUCGGGCAACCAGGAAGGUCGCACGUGGAGCCGCCCCCGGGACCCGCGUAACGACACCGUGGGGGAGGCUGCGGGCUCGCGGGGUGGGGGCUGGGGCGCAGCCCGAGAAGUGGGAGGGGAUCGGGUGAGGGGUGGUCUCUGAGGAGGAGCCAGGCUGGACCGUAUUGUUCCGCGUUCUGCCGGGUAGGGCGCGAGGCGCAAGGCUUCCCGUGUCCCUCUCCCCACCCCCGCUCUCCGAGCGCGAGAGGAGGCUGGGGGUGGCUCCUUGUGCGCCCCGAGACGCCGCUGCCCAGCUUGCCCGGUGGGCGUGCGUCCUCCGAGCGGUACCGGGAAGGGGGUGCUCUGCGCCCGCGCGCUCAGUACGGCUCCACCCAGGGCGGGGGUCCCAAGUGAACCGCCCGCCGCAACGCAGUCCCCUGCCGGGUUCGCGGCCCCAGAGGUUGGGGCCGGCGGCGAAGGGCUAGGGUCCUUCACCCUCCCUCGCCGCGAGCCUCCGCAGAAGUCGGGCGUCCAGGCUCCCGGCGAUGGCCGCGGGCCGCCGCCAUACGGAGCCGCAGCGCGGACCCCAGGGCACUCCUCCCUAGCGAGGCGCGACUCCUUUUCGCCCCCAGGCCGGCCAGCGGGAUGGGGGGCGGCGGGUCGGCCCUGAGGGUCUGCGCCGACCACCGCGGGGGCAUCAACUGGCUGAGCCUGAGCCCCGACGGGCAGCGCCUGCUGACGGGCAGCGAGGACGGCACGGCCCGGCUCUGGAGCACCGCGGACGGCCAGUGCUGCGCGCUCCUGCAAGACAGAUGGAAACUGAGGCUGGGGGUUGAGAAACUCGCCCAGGUCGCACAGCCAGUGAGGGGUAGAUUGCAGUCUGAGUCCUCUCACUGCUGUAAACCCCGCCUGCGUGUCUGCCGGUUUCUAUUCGUGUCCUGUACCCACUCAGCAGGACACGAAAGCUAUGUGACCUUCUGCCAGCUGGAGGAUGAAGCUGCCUUCACAUGCAGUGCCGACUGCACCAUCAGGAGGUGGGACGUGCUGACCGGGCAGUGUCUGCAGGUGUACCGAGGACACACGUCUAUCGUGAACAGGAUCCUGGUUGUCAACAACCAGCUCUUCAGCAGCUCCUACGACCGGACAGCUCGGGUCUGGAGUGUGGACGAGGGGCAGAUGUGCCGGGAGUUCCGGGGCCACCGCAACUGCGUGCUGACUCUAGCCUACUCUGCCCCGUGGGACCUCCCCGGCGCUCCCUGCGUGGAAGAGGCUGUGGCUGGGGGGCUCCUGGUGACCGGCAGCACAGACGGCACGGCCAAGGUGUGGCAGGUGGCCAGCGGCUGCUGCCACCAGACACUGCGGGGCCACACGGGCGCGGUGCUGUGCCUGGUGCUGGACACGCCCAGCCACACGGCCUUCACGGGCAGCACCGACACCACCGUCCGCGCCUGGGACAUCCUGAGUGGGGAGCAGCUGCGGGUGUUCCGGGAGCACCAGGGCUCUGUCAUAUGUCUGGAGCUGGUGAACCGACUGGUGUACUCUGGCAGCGCGGACAGGACUGUCAAGUGCUGGCUGGCAGACACGGGGGAGCGUGUGCGCACGUUCACCGCCCACAGACGCAGCGUGAGCGCCCUCAAGUACCACGCGGGCACCUUGUUCACGGGCAGCGGGGACGCCUGCGCCCGGGCCUUCGACGCGCAGUCGGGAGAGCUGCGGAGGGUGUUCCGAGGCCACGCGUUCAUCAUCAACUGCCUCCAGGUGCACGGCCAGGUGCUCUACACCGCCUCGCACGACGGCGCCCUGCGCCUCUGGGAUGUGCGCGGACUCCGGGGCGCCCCGCCGCCCACGCGCAGCCUCUCGCGCCUUUUCAGCAACAAGGUGGGCUGCGCCGCGCCCCUGCAGCCGGCCUGAGCCCGCGGGGCCCCUGCCGUCGCCCGCCCAGUUGCGCUCCGGCUCCCAGAGCACCUAGCCCUGUGCCCCACGGCGGCGGCGCCGGCGCCGGCGCCUGAUGACCGGGGAGGAGCAAGGAGGCCCGGGCUGGAGGCCCCGGCCCCUCCUGGGACUCUCCCACCUCAGGGGUGCAGGCGGACCGCCCCGACCCACGAAGUUGGGCCUUUCCUGCUGAGAGGAAGUGACUUUACAGAAGCCACUGAAACUGGUUGUUUUGGCAAAUUGUCGCCUCGUGGGCCUUGGAGGCGGGGACUGAAAUACACAGCCUGAGAGUUAAAAGUGCUCCUGUGUGCUCUUGUUUUGCAAACUGAGUCUCAGCUUCUUUUCGGAGCUUGGGAUUCCAGGAUCUCAGGUCAGCGGGCUGCCUCUCACACCGGCCUGGGCGGCCUUGGGGGUGACUUGUGGGCGAGAUGCGGGGUUACGGCCAGUGUUACUGGUGCAGGGAGUGGACGUGGAAGAGGCCAGGGAGAAAGGAAGCCACUCUUUAGCCUGUGCAGGUGACAGCGGAGAUCCUGCUUGGGAGCACCCAUCAUUUUCUAGCAUGAAUCUAGGAGGUCCCUUCAGGGUCUGGAGCGGAAGGGUGGGGGAGCUCAUGCACAGGAGCCACGCCGGUGCUUGGUGCUGGGAGGCAUGCCACACAUGCCAGAGCCAACAGGCACCCAAGGGGAGCCCUGUGCCCAGAGGCUAGAGGGGCCAGAGGCCCUUCGGGAGACCCCUCAGCAUCCCUCCCAGCACCUGCAGGGGGUUCUCUUCAGGCCCUAGGUGGUGCCACUUUCAGCAUUCACGUGCCCAGGCUGGCCUGGGUGCCAGGAGAGGAGCUGCAGGUGACAGUGCCUGUCGCGGAGGCCGCAGCAUCUUGCUGCGGAGAGAAGCGUGUGGUGCAGAAGCAGCCCCUUCAAGUGGAGCCGCGCCUUCAGAGAGCUCUGCUUGAUGUUGACGACAUAAAGAUGGCAGGAUGACCAUUCUCUCUCUGGUUUCUGAGAGCCCGAGAGACAUGGUGAGUGAGAGACUCGGAUCCCCUGAACCAAGGCCUGGUCCCUUUCCAGCCAUACCACUGUCGAUUUGCUGUGAGGGAAGAAACCAGGUGUCUGCUUUUGAUCAUCAAUUGAGUUGGCUAAGGGAGGAAGGGCAGGAGCUACCCUUAGGACAGAUGGGCAGGAACACAGCGACCGGGUAGGGCAGGACCAGCAUCAAGAACACGUGACGAGCUGUGCACCCCGUCACGCAGGUGUGGGCUGCCCUCGCCUGCUGGCCACGCACCCAUGCCCGCUCCCGCUCCUCACGGCACCCAGCCUCCCUCCUGGCUGUGACAGCAUCAGCAAUCAUGCCAUCUGCCCCCAAUUUUCUCUCUCCACAUACUGUCCUGCCCCAAAUACUAAUUUGUCCCACAUCUGGAAUGUUCUUUUUCCUCUGAUCCUCCCAGGAGAACCCUCCCAGGGCCCCACCUCUGUAACAGCCUCUGCUUCUCCGGCCUCAGCACCCUCCUGCCCCCUCCACCACCACCUGUCCAGUUUCACAGGGUCAGCCGUAGGUGGAGCAGGCUCAGCCGAGUCUCCAUCCCUGGAGGACAGCCCAUCCUGGACACAGCGCAUGCCCACAACUGCCCCCCACAGCCGGCUUCCCGUACAGCUCUCUCUCCACAAGACACGGAAAGCGUCAGGGCCUGCUGGUGUGGCCCUGCCUCUCUGAUGGCUGAAGACAGCUGGGAAGCUAGAAGCCACGCCCAAACCAAGCUUAGGACAGCGACUUGUUAGCCAAAAGCUUCUAAUCAGACCCAAAUCCAAGUGUGACAUUGUCUCAAAUGAGGCUGAGACCCUGCGUCACUUCAGCUCACUGGGCACGUCGAGGCAAACCCUGACAGGUGCGUCUCAGUCCCCGGCCCAGGGUCCUCCCCACCACCCAGCUUUGCAUGCGGCACUGUUCACAGCAGAUGUCCUCUGCUGCUUCUCCGGUCAUCCUUCAUCGCCUCACAAAACUCACUGGAAACAACAUCUUGCAAUCGAAACGAAGCGCUGGCCACCCAGACACUUUCCACACCUACAGCUGAGGCAGCUGAGGAACUUACUGCAGUUAGGCUGACAGUUUUGGAAUAUAUUUUCCACCUUUUAUUUCCAUCAGUAUCAUCCAUUUAAAAAGAAUCACAAGAAGAUUCCCAUCGGUCCAAACUGGAGCAUCCAUGCUUUAUGAAAAAGUGGAAGCAUUUCUGCCGGCCCCACAUGACCCAUCCUGCCUUCAUCAGAGGAGCUUCUAGUGCCUUCUGGAAGGGAGGAGAAGUCCCAGAUGCACCUGGCUGCUGCGGUCCUGGCGCUGGAAGGAACCCCCACUGAAUGCGAGG
Saimiri boliviensis boliviensis (Bolivian squirrel monkey) is the source of this 5245-nucleotide RNA transcript. It is a transcript of the gene named WD repeat domain 86, with no coding region annotated. NCBI's taxonomy places the organism in Eukaryota, Metazoa, Chordata, Mammalia, Primates, Cebidae. The record is from RefSeq and is a predicted model, not a curated record.